RNAcentral lists this long non-coding RNA (1210 nucleotides) under Vulpes vulpes (red fox). RNAcentral's name for it is "lncRNA (ENSVVUG00000029572.1)". Lineage: Eukaryota; Metazoa; Chordata; Mammalia; Carnivora; Canidae. The record is from RNAcentral.
GUUUAUUGUCAAGAAGUGUGGAUUUCCAUCUGUCAGAGUUUGAAAUCAGAUUCCAAAACAGGGAGCCUAGCUCUGAAUAAGAACCCAUGGAAAUUGUUAAGACCCAUUUUCAUGAGGAUAUAAUCCAACUCUAGAAGCAGCCACAGUUUAUGCCAGAUUUGGGGAUAAAAUCCCUUUUGGUCUGUGAAGAGGGUUGAAAUUUUAAUCAACUAUUUUCUACCUCAUAGAAUCCCAUAUGGUGUUGGGUCAUUUUGAACAUGGGAAUACUUUGACAUUGUAUAUCACUUUUGUUUCUCCCCUAAAGGAAAGCCACAACACCCUGUAUCUGAAGAGCUGGGUGGAGGUUACUCCCAAGAGCCCGUUGAUAUCUGCUGGCAAAGCCACCCGAGCAAGUCACGCCAAUCAUGCUCUGUGGUAAAUGGUAAGGAGAAGAGGCAAGAAAGCUGAAUGUGCUGUCUUCCCCAUUGGCUUGUAAGAGCAAAAGGAGGUAAGAUGUAAGGGAAGGGGAAAAGAGUAUGUCAGCAUCAAAAAAGGAGGUUCAUUGGUAUGAAUUCCUGAGUCCGAAGUAGUUGUACUCCACCUUGGCCACUGAAAUCACUGGGGAUGAUUUGAAGACUCAUGUCUCGACCCCUCCCCCAUAACUUAAAGUGUCUUGAGAUAGACCUAAGUAUUAGAGUUAUUCGUUGAUUUAUAAGCUCAAGAAAUGAUGCUGAUGCAAAGUCAAGAUUGAGAACCUCUGCUCUAGACUCAGUGAGCCAUCCCCAUGAGGAUUAGCUCCUUACUCAUUUCUCAUCUCCCACUCAGACACAUUGAAUUGUAUUCACCCAGUCAUCAUGGGGCCAUGUUACGCUGGAGCCCUUCACGACCUGCAAGAUCAACUAGCCUUGCCCUUGCUUUUGAGGCAACAAUAAUGUGACAGAAAGACCACUGGAUCUAGGUCCCAUGACUAGACUAUUUCUGUUCAUAGUUAAAUGAACUACGACAAAUCAUGAGGAAGUCGUGGCAUCUCUCUGGGUCUCCUUUUGCUAAGAUACUGGACUUAGGGAAAUUCAGUGACCAUUGUGAAUGCACCUAACUCGGUAUGAGGCAUGUAUGGUAAUGCAUAGCUACUCAGGAAAAACUUUUUUCUCUGUUUAAGUUCUUAUAGGUAAAGGCACUGCACCCCGAAAGGAUAAAUAAAGUGUAUUUGCUCAGAGCUUUGUCUAUUGUA